AUGACUGACUACUGUCCUCUUCAUCCACAACAAUGGCGUUCAUCACCCUCUUCAUCUACUCUCUGCUCCUCUACAUCCAAGACUCCAGGGCACAGGUGACCGUUACUCAAACUCCAGCCAUAUCGACCAGUCCAGGGGGCACAGUCAGAAUUAGCUGUAAACGCAGUGGAAGUAUUUCCUCUGACUGUGGCACACCAUGCAUCUCCUGGUACCAACAGCAGUCUGGGGAGAAACCCAAACUCCUCAUCUACUCUGUGAGCAGCCUCCAGUCUGGUAUUCCAUCUCGGUUUAGUGGCAGUGGAUCUGGGAAUGACUACAGUCUGACCAUCAGUGGAGUCCAGAGUGAAGAUGCAGGAGAUUUUUACUGCAUGAGUCACCAUGUACCUACUGGUAUUACUGCACAGUUCACACAGUGAUACAGACUCGUACAAAAACCUCAACGUCUCUCAGUCAGUCAGGUGGCACAGUGAGUGUGAUCUACUGCUGCAGAUGGAGCCUCCUGCUGGUGGUGCACACCAGAGUGAAGUCAGAACCUAAUCAUGAUAUUUAACCUGAUCCUCUUCAGAAGAUAUGACCACACCAGACAAUAUAUUCUUAAAUAGUAGUUGAUUAUAUAGAUUGCUAUUAUAUAUAUUACAUAUUGCUUAUUGAUUGCCAUAUGCUAUUAGUGAUGAUGAAAGUAC
This is a non-coding RNA of Alosa alosa (allis shad), 683 nucleotides long. NCBI's taxonomy places the organism in Eukaryota, Metazoa, Chordata, Actinopteri, Clupeiformes, Clupeidae. The record is from the annotation of a RefSeq genome assembly.